Long non-coding RNA from Scophthalmus maximus (turbot), 1083 nucleotides. RefSeq lists it as uncharacterized. Lineage: Eukaryota; Metazoa; Chordata; Actinopteri; Pleuronectiformes; Scophthalmidae. The transcript has 2 exons. The record is from RefSeq and is a predicted model, not a curated record.
UAUUAAGAUAAGAUUUUAAGCACUAAGUUUGGUUGAGUUUGACUGUGGUCUGUCACUGUUGACAGAUCAGACACCGGGAAAAAUAUACAAAAUAUUACAUUGUCAUUCAAAUAUUAGGCCAGAGAACAAAACUCAAGGCACCAUUUGAUCUCAGCUAUCUGCAGAAAGAAUUAUUAGCUAAACUUUGUGUUCUGCCUUUCUCCACAAGUUGAGAUGUUUUUCGUUUUGUAUUUUUACUCCUCGACGUCUGGCACAACACAUUCCAGUAAGCAAUGUAAUCACAUUCCAGCGGUUCGCACAUCGCUCAUCACUGCUUUCAAGUCACACCUAUUGUCUAUUGAGCCACAUAACGGUGAAGGCGAUUUGCAUCGGUGAUCCCCAUUCAGAUGCGUGAACCACGUUACCUGUGCCGGAUGCCUCGUGCAAAGACAAGAACCAAUUCGGAUACUGACCCAGAUGAGUGGUGCCAGCCUGUCCAUCAACUAGAAAAGCAUCAGGUUGAAGUUUAGUUUUUGAACAACAGUGUGCGUUUCGCAAGUCAGUCGUUCUUAAUCACGAGUGGCUUGAGUGUUUCUUACCUGAGUAAAAGUGAGCAUCUUGCCUGGAGCAGCCUGGAGGACGACAGCGAUCUUGGCCAGGUAGGUGGUGCUCUUCCUGGACAAACCUCUCUCCUGCAGCUGAGCUCCACACUUCUUCGUCCUGUCCUGCAUCUUGUUGGUCAGAGAGUCAAGUCUCACGCAGAGUGGUGCUGUCGACAGAGUGACUGAGUGCACAUGUGGACCUGCAGUGGUCCGCCCUGGAUAUAUCUGUCCUGCUUGGACAAUGGGGCAUUAGAGGGCGUGCACUGCAGGUUAAUGAGAACCUUUUCAUGGAUGAGCCGUUACUGCUGAAGGCGGAGCCAGUGAUCAGAGUAACAAUCCAUUUCCAACAGUUCAUCAGCAUAUCUGUCUAGAUGCUCAGAGUUUAAUCUGUAUCUUUGUUCACAACAGGGGAGACAUUUAUUUUCUCCCUAAUAAUACACUACAAUUAUACAAUAAUGAUUUUCUUUCCUCAUGUGGAAAUAAAAUAACUGCUACAGCAGCA